RNAcentral lists this non-coding RNA (30 nucleotides) under Rattus norvegicus (Norway rat). The record is from RNAcentral. Lineage: Eukaryota; Metazoa; Chordata; Mammalia; Rodentia; Muridae.
UCCAGAUUUGUAGCUUCUAUACUCUGAGGU